This is a long non-coding RNA of Oncorhynchus keta (chum salmon), 1323 nucleotides long. RefSeq lists it as uncharacterized. The record is from RefSeq and is a predicted model, not a curated record. NCBI's taxonomy places the organism in Eukaryota, Metazoa, Chordata, Actinopteri, Salmoniformes, Salmonidae. The transcript is spliced from 4 exons.
UAAACAACCACUGCUCCAGACUCUCAGACUGUGUAGAGGUAAACAACCACUGCUCCAGGCUAUCAGACUGUGUAGAGAGGUAAACAACCACUGUCCCAGACUAACAGACUGUGUAGAGAGGUAAACAACCACUGUCCCAUACUAUCAGACUGUGUAGAGAGGUAAACAACCACUGUCCCAUACUAUCAGACUGUGUAGAGAGGUAAACAACCACUGUCCCAUACUAUCAGACUGUGUAGAGAGGUAAACAACCACUGCUCCAGACUCUCAGACUGUGUAGAGAGGUAGACAACCACUGUCCCAGACUAUCAGACUGUGUAGAGAGGUAAACAACCACUGCUCCAGACUCUCAGACUGUGUAGAGAGGUAAACAACCACUGCUCCAGACUCUCAGACUGUGUAGAGAGGUAAACAACCACUGCUCCAGACUCUCAGACUGUGUAGAGAGGUAAACAACCACUGUCCCAUACUAUCAGACUGUGUAGAGAGGUAAACAACCACUGUCCCAUACUAUCAGACUGUGUAGAGAGGUAAACAACCACUGUCCCAGACUAACAGACUGUGUAGAGGUAAACAACCACUGUCCCAUACUAUCAGACUGUGUAGAGAGGUAAACAACCACUGUCCCAGACUAACAGACUGUGUAGAGGUAAACAACCACUGUCCCAUACUAUCAGACUGUGUAGAGAGGUAAACAACCACUGCUCCAGACUCUCAGACUGUGUAGAGAGGUAAACAACCACUGCUCCAGGCUAUCAGACUGUGUAGAGAGGUAAACAACCACUGUCCCAGACUAUCAGACUGUGUAGAGAGGUAAACAACCACUGCUCCAGACUCUCAGACUGUGUAGAGGUAAACAACCACUGUCCCAGACUAUCAGACUGUGUAGAGAGGUAAACAACCACUGCUCCAGACUCUCAGACUGUGUAGAGGUAAACAACCACUGUCCCAGACUCUCAGACUGUGUAGAGAGGUAAACAACCACUGUCCCAUACUAUCAGACUGUGUAGAGAGGUAAACAACCACUGUCCCAGACUCUCAGACUGUGUAGAGAGGUAAACAACCACUGUCCCAGACUCUCAGACUGUGUAGAGAGGUAAACAACCACUGCUCCAGACUCUCAGACUGUGUAGAGAGGUAAACAACCACUGCUCCAGACUCUCAGACUGUGUAGAGAGGUAAACAACCACUGCUCCAGACUCUCAGACUGUGUAGAGAGGUAAACAACCACUGUCCCAGACUCUCAGACUGUGUAGAGAGGUAAACAACCACUGUCCCAUACUAUCAGACUGUGUAGAGAGGUAAACAACCACUGUCCCAGAC